RNAcentral lists this ribosomal RNA (982 nucleotides) under Clostridium acidisoli DSM 12555. RNAcentral's name for it is "bacterial SSU rRNA". It matches the Rfam family "Bacterial small subunit ribosomal RNA", at positions 431 to 1433 of the family's 1533-position model. The record is from RNAcentral. Lineage: Bacteria; Bacillati; Bacillota; Clostridia; Eubacteriales; Clostridiaceae.
CUCUGUCUUUUGGGACGAUAAUGACGGUACCAAAGGAGGAAGCCACGGCUAACUACGUGCCAGCAGCCGCGGUAAUACGUAGGUGGCAAGCGUUGUCCGGAAUUACUGGGCGUAAAGGAUGUGUAGGCGGAUAUUUAAGUGAGAUGUGAAAUCCCCGAGCUCAACUUGGGGGCUGCAUUUCAAACUGGGUAUCUAGAGUGCAGGAGAGGAAAGCGGAAUUCCUAGUGUAGCGGUGAAAUGCGUAGAGAUUAGGAAGAACAUCAGUGGCGAAGGCGGCUUUCUGGACUGUAACUGACGCUGAGGCAUGAAAGCGUGGGGAGCAAACAGGAUUAGAUACCCUGGUAGUCCACGCCGUAAACGAUGAGUACUAGGUGUAGGAGGUAUCGACUCCUUCUGUGCCGCAGUUAACACAAUAAGUACUCCGCCUGGGAAGUACGGUCGCAAGAUUAAAACUCAAAGGAAUUGACGGGGGCCCGCACAAGCAGCGGAGCAUGUGGUUUAAUUCGAAGCAACGCGAAGAACCUUACCUAGACUUGACAUCCCCUGAAUAACGUAGAGAUACGCGAAGCCCUUCGGGGCAGGGAGACAGGUGGUGCAUGGUUGUCGUCAGCUCGUGUCGUGAGAUGUUGGGUUAAGUCCCGCAACGAGCGCAACCCUUAUCAUUAGUUGCUACCAUUUAGUUGAGCACUCUAGUGAGACUGCCCGGGUUAACCGGGAGGAAGGCGGGGAUGACGUCAAAUCAUCAUGCCCCUUAUGUCUAGGGCUACACACGUGCUACAAUGGUGAGAACAACGAGAUGCAAUACCGCGAGGUGGAGCAAAACUUCAAAACUCAUCUCAGUUCGGAUUGUAGGCUGAAACUCGCCUACAUGAAGUUGGAGUUGCUAGUAAUCGCGAAUCAGAAUGUCGCGGUGAAUACGUUCCCGGGCCUUGUACACACCGCCCGUCACACCAUGAGAGCUGGUAACACCCGAAGUCCGUGA